This 819-nucleotide ribosomal RNA is filed under the name uncultured eukaryote. RNAcentral's name for it is "bacterial SSU rRNA". It matches the Rfam family "Eukaryotic small subunit ribosomal RNA", at positions 627 to 1495 of the family's 1831-position model. The record is from RNAcentral.
CUCGUAGUUGGACCUAUGACAAGGCCGGAUGGUCUGCCGCAAGGCAGUACUGUCCUAGCCGAGUCACGAUGUUGGGGAACUGUCCUUUGGGCAGGGAACCAAGGAUUACUUUGAAGAAAUUAGAGUGUUUAAAGCAGGCGUUUGCUUGAAUACAUUAGCAUGGAAUAAUAAGAUAUGACUGUGGUCGUAUUUUGUUGGUUUGAUGGCCUCAGUAAUGAUUAAUAGGGAUAGUUGGGGGCAUUAGUAUUCAGUAGUCAGAGGUGAAAUUCUUGGAUUUACUGAAGACUAACUAAUGCGAAAGCAUUUGCCAAGGAUGUUUUCAUUAAUCAAGAACGAAAGUUAGGGGAUCGAAGACGAUUAGAUACCGUCGUAGUCUUAACCAUAAACUAUGCCGACUAGGGAUCGGUAGACUUCAUUUUGGGUCUAUCGGCACCUUACGAGAAAUCAAAGUUUUUGGGUUCUGGGGGGAGUAUGGUCGCAAGGCUGAAACUUAAAGGAAUUGACGGAAGGGCACCACCAGGAGUGGAGCCUGCGGCUUAAUUUGACUCAACACGGGAAAACUCACCAGGUCCGGACAUAGUAAGGAUUGACAGAUUGAGAGCUCUUUCAUGAUUUUAUGGGAGGUGGUGCAUGGCCGUUCGUAGUUGGUGGAGUGAUUUGUCUGGUUAAUUCCGAUAACGAACGAGACCUAAACCUGCUAAAUAGGGGCGGACACGCGAGUGUCUCGCACCUUCUUAGAGGGACUGAAUACGUUUAGUAUUCGGAAGUUUUAGGCAAUAACAGGUCUGUGAUGCCCUUAGAUGUUCUGGGCUGCACGCG